This 1187-nucleotide long non-coding RNA is filed under the name Homo sapiens (human). RNAcentral's name for it is "non-protein coding LINC00635:18". Lineage: Eukaryota; Metazoa; Chordata; Mammalia; Primates; Hominidae. The record is from RNAcentral.
AGCAGCGUAGCUGAACAUCUUACGGAUGGCCCAGGGCUCCAAAGGCUCGUUUCCUAAGUGAGAGAGAGCCUGGCUGAAGCUGUAUUACCAUUCAUUCUCCAGCCUCCGAAGUCUCAAAGCAUCACUUCCACCAUACUCUAACUGUCAAGACAAACACAAAGGCCCAGAAACUGCCAGACUGUCUUCUGAAGUGGCUAUAAUAUUUACACUCCCAUCAGCAGUGUAGAAGGGGUCUCACUAUGUUGUCUGGAGUGCUGUGGUGGAGUGGAGUGGCUAUUCACAGAGCCUGUUCUGCUGGGACACAGAAUCACUUGCUCCAUCUCAUACAUUGAUGAUGAUUAAUUUGUAUGUGUACCUUCCAAAAAAGAUGGUUGUGUUUGAAUGGAGGCCUUCUGGACAGGAAAAUAAUCACAUCCUUCCUGAGAUAAUGAGCACACAAUUGCCUGGAUACCUGAAGGAAUGGAGACAGCGGCAGAAAACACUGCAGAGAGGUGGAAACAUCCGUUAAUAUUUUAAAAUCCCAUUACUGCUACCAACAAUAAUAAUGGAUGCAUAGAAAUAGAUCUGGAUUAGCUGAGCUUGAAACAGUCCAUCUCACACACACACAAAAGAAUUUCAGAUACAGUGAACCCACAUGUUGAAGCUUUCUAGUAUAAUAAAAAUUUCAACUGUUCUGUUGAAUCAUCUGCCUGAUUGGAGGCUACAGAAAAGAUGUCAUCUUAGGAGUGCUUGCUCUGAGUGAGGCUCAUCUUCAAAUCUGAAUGACCACAAGGAGAUUUGAUUAUACAUGUGAACACCUCAGAAGGCACAGCCCACCCAGAAGGCAGACAGAAGAAGCUGCCAGGAAGACUGUGAAAUCUUCAUGCCCAAGGAUCCCUAAAAUUAGGAGCAACAACCACUUGGCUCAGACGGUUUAUGGAGGCAAAGGUUUGGAUGGGAUUAGAGAUUUCUAAAUGUGAGUUCGUGUCCUCUGCCAGACCACCUUACUUCCACCAUUCCUCAGCAAAUCAAGAAAAACAGGAGAAAAGACAUGCCUUUCCAUAAGUUAAAUCUAUUCUGUUUUAAUUCUAUAUUAUAUCUGCUGUACAACUUCUUUUGUUUGUAACACCAUAUUGUUGCUAGUAACUGGAAAUUAAUUUUCACAUGCCUCAGCUUAGAAAAAUAAAAAGCAGCCCUGCAUCAAUCCC